Molecule: ribosomal RNA, 253 nt
Filed under: uncultured bacterium
Lineage: Bacteria
Description: partial 16S ribosomal RNA
Rfam family: Bacterial small subunit ribosomal RNA
Source: RNAcentral
UACGUAGGGUGCAAGCGUUAAUCGGAAUUACUGGGCGUAAAGCGUGCGCAGGCGGUUUUGUAAGCCGGAUGUGAAAUCCCCGGGCUUAACCUGGGAAUGGCAUUUGGGACUGCAAGGCUGGAGUGUGGCAGAGGAGACUGGAAUUCCCGGUGUAGCAGUGAAAUGCGUAGAUAUCGGGAGGAAUACCGAUGGCGAAGGCAGGUCUCUGGGCUGACACUGACGCUCAUGCACGAAAGCGUGGGGAGCAAACAGG